UGUUAUUUUAUUUUCUAAGAAGAGAAAAUUAAUAUAAAUUUUAACCUAUAUUGAGCAUCACUGCAAUAAUGAUGCAUAACUUCCAGUAAAAAGCCACACAAAGAAAAUCCUGUUCUUUCAAGUUUUCCAAGGUUGGCAUGUGGACAGAUUUUUUUGGAAGCAAUCUUAUAUCUCACUGUCUCCCUUAAAUCACUGGCCAAGCACUGAUUUUAAUCCAAUACGCAGAAGGGUGACUUUUUUUUUUCUUUUGAAUUAUCAUAGCACAUAUGAUAUAAACUCUGGCAGUGGAAGAAGGCAAUGACAAAAAGAUUUCUCUUUGUAAACAUCUUUAAUAGACUUCAAGCAAGCAUUGAAUUCAUUCAUUCAACCACAUAAACAGACAGAAUUGCAUGCAUACAAUAUAGUUUUAACAUACAUCAUUAGCGUAACUAACAAAGGGAAGUAUCUUACUCCAGGAUAGUGUUGCAAUAUCGGAGAAUAAUGAUCCAGGGCUAUGUAUAUUUUUUCAAGAAGGCUUAAAAGAGCAUCCACCUCGUCACCUAAAAGAUCAACCUGAGAUUCAAGAAAAAUUCAAUAAACUAAUUGAAAAGAUAUGCCACGCACACAACUAACAAUCUCAAAAUAUUUGGAAAUAGGAACGAAUAUAUACUUUAAACAUUUGCUUUAAGAAAAGAAGACCACUAUAUUGGUAAAUUAUACACUUGAUAGCUCAUUAGAUACAAACAAGAAGUGGCAUCACAAAUUUUCCACAAAAUAUGACAACUUUAUUACAAG
Molecule: long non-coding RNA, 774 nt
Filed under: Manihot esculenta (cassava)
Lineage: Eukaryota; Viridiplantae; Streptophyta; Magnoliopsida; Malpighiales; Euphorbiaceae
Description: long non-coding RNA (MESC_LNC003513)
Source: RNAcentral